RNAcentral lists this non-coding RNA (113 nucleotides) under Compsopogon caeruleus. The record is from RNAcentral. Lineage: Eukaryota; Rhodophyta; Compsopogonophyceae; Compsopogonales; Compsopogonaceae.
UGAGGUGAUCUCGUUUGUUAUUUUAUCUUUCUCGAUCACUUCAGAUUUCGCCCCUGCUCCUUUUGCAGACGGGCUCAUGAUGCUCACGUUUCUCCCACCCGUUUGUCUCGUGU